RNAcentral lists this ribosomal RNA (468 nucleotides) under uncultured bacterium. RNAcentral's name for it is "partial 16S ribosomal RNA". It matches the Rfam family "Bacterial small subunit ribosomal RNA", at positions 28 to 507 of the family's 1533-position model. The record is from RNAcentral.
GACGAACGCUGGCGGCGUGCUUAACACAUGCAAGUCGAACGGAAAGGCCCUGCUUUUGUGGGGUGCUCGAGUGGCGAACGGGUGAGUAACACGUGAGUAACCUGCCCUUGACUUUGGGAUAACUUCAGGAAACUGUGGCUAAUACCGGAUAGGAGCCCCUGCUGCAUGGUGGGGGUUGGAAAGUUUCGGCGGUUGGGGAUGGACUCGUGGCUUAUCAGCUUAUUGGUGGGGUAGUGGCUUACCAAGGCUUUGACGAGUAGCCGGGCUGAGAGGAGGACCAGACACAUUGGGCGCAGUAUUGGGGCCAGCCUCCUGCGGAAGGCAGAAGUGAGGAAUUUUGCGAAAUGGGCGGAAGCCUGAUGCAGCAACGCCGCGUGGGGGAUGACGGCCUUCUGGUGGUAAACCGCUUUCUGCUAUGACGAAGCGUGUGUGACGGUAAUGGGUAAAGAAGCACCGGCUAACUACGUG